UAGGGAAUCUUCGGCAAUGGACGAAAGUCUGACCGAGCAACGCCGCGUGAGUGAAGAAGGUUUUCGGAUCGUAAACUCUGUUGGUAGAGAAGAACGUUGGUGAGAGUGGAAAGCUCAUCAAGUGACGGUAACUACCCAGAAAGGGACGGCUAACUACUUGCCAG
RNAcentral lists this ribosomal RNA (164 nucleotides) under uncultured bacterium. RNAcentral's name for it is "partial 16S rRNA". It matches the Rfam family "Bacterial small subunit ribosomal RNA", at positions 355 to 511 of the family's 1533-position model. The record is from RNAcentral.